GACGAACGCUGGCGGCGUGCUUAACACAUGCAAGUCGAACGGAAAGGCCCUGCUUUUGUGGGGUGCUCGAGUGGCGAACGGGUGAGUAACACGUGAGUAACCUGCCCUUGACUUUGGGAUAACUUCAGGAAACUGGGGCUAAUACCGGAUAGGAGCUCCUGCUGCAUGGUGGGGGUUGGAAAGUUUCGGCGGUUGGGGUUGGACUCGCGGCUUAUCAGCUUGUUGGUGGGGUAGUGGCAUACCCAGGCUUUGACGGGUAGCCGGCCUGAGAGGGUGACCGGCCACAUUGGUACUGAGAUACGGCCCAGACUCCUACGUGAGGCAGCAGUGGGGAAUAUGGCACAAUGGGCGGAAGCCGGAUGCAGCAACGCCGCGGGCGGAAUGACGGCCUGCGGGUUGUAAACCGCUUUCGCCUGUGACGAAGCGUGAGUGACGGUAAUGGGUAAAGAAGCACCGGCUAACUACGUG
Molecule: ribosomal RNA, 468 nt
Filed under: uncultured bacterium
Lineage: Bacteria
Description: partial 16S ribosomal RNA
Rfam family: Bacterial small subunit ribosomal RNA
Source: RNAcentral